CCAGCAGCUGCGGUAAUUCCAGCUCCAAUAGCGUAUACUUAAGUUGUUGCAGUUAAAAAGCUCGUAGUUGAAAUUCGAAUUAGCUGAUAGAGGGCUUAGGCUAUCUAGCAGUUGGUUCUCCGUCUACAAUCCCUCUUGGGCUUCAGGGUUGCAGAGGGCUGAGUAGACAAUUUACCUUGAAAAAAUUAGAGUGUUCCAGGCAGGUUUUCGCCGGAAUACAUUAGCAUGGAAUAAUGGAAUAGGACUUAGGUCUUUUGUUGGUUUUAGGACUUGAGUAAUGAUUAAUAGGGACAGAUGGGGGCAUUAGUAUUUAAUUGUCAGAGGUGAAAUUCUUGGAUUUAUUAAAGACUAACUUAUGCGAAAGCAUUUGCCAAGGAUGUUUUCAUUAAUCAAG
Molecule: ribosomal RNA, 394 nt
Filed under: uncultured eukaryote
Lineage: Eukaryota
Description: SSU rRNA
Rfam family: Eukaryotic small subunit ribosomal RNA
Source: RNAcentral